GACGGGGCCCGCACAAGCGGUGGAGUAUGUGGUUUAAUUCGAUGCAACGCGAAGAACCUUACCUGGUCUUGACAUCCCGGAGACCCUUAGGAAACUAGGGGGUGCUUCCAUCUGGAAGAAUCUGGAGACAGGUGCUGCAUGGCUGUCGUCAGCUCGUGUCGUGAGAUGUUGGGUUAAGUCCCGCAACGAGCGCAACCCUUGCCUUUAGUUGCCAGCAGUUCGGCUGGGCACUCUAAAGGGACUGCCGGUGUUAAACCGGAGGAAGGUGGGGAUGACGUCAAGUCCUCAUGGCCUUUAUGACCAGGGCUACACACGUACUACAAUGGCCGAUACAAAGGGCAGCGACACUGCGAGGUGAAGCCAAUCCCGUAAAAUCGGUCUCAGUCCGGAUUGGAGUCUGCAACUCGACUCCAUGAAGUCGGAAUCGCUAGUAAUCGUGGAUCAGCAUGCCACGGUGAAUACGUUCCCGGGCCUU
This 475-nucleotide ribosomal RNA is filed under the name uncultured Desulfobulbus sp. RNAcentral describes it as "bacterial SSU rRNA". It matches the Rfam family "Bacterial small subunit ribosomal RNA", at positions 916 to 1381 of the family's 1533-position model. Lineage: Bacteria; Pseudomonadati; Thermodesulfobacteriota; Desulfobulbia; Desulfobulbales; Desulfobulbaceae. The record is from RNAcentral.